Molecule: ribosomal RNA, 305 nt
Filed under: uncultured bacterium
Lineage: Bacteria
Description: bacterial SSU rRNA
Rfam family: Bacterial small subunit ribosomal RNA
Source: RNAcentral
UAUUCCUACGGGACGCAGCAGUGAGGAAUAUUGGUCAAUGGGCGGUAGCCUGAACCAGCCAAGUAGCGUGAAGGAUGAAGGUUCUAUGGAUUGUAAACUUCUUUUAUAAAGGAAUAAAGUGAGGCACGUGUGCCUUUUUGUAUGUACUUUAUGAUUAAGGAUCGGCUAACUCCGUGCCAGCAGCCGCGGUAAUACGGAGGAUCCGAGCGUUAUCCGGGUUUAUUGGGUUUAAAGGGAGCGUAGAUGGGUUGUUAAGUCAGUUGUGAAAGUUUGCGGCUCAACCGUAGAAUUGUAAUUGAUAAUGG